This is a long non-coding RNA of Gossypium arboreum, 522 nucleotides long. RefSeq lists it as uncharacterized. NCBI's taxonomy places the organism in Eukaryota, Viridiplantae, Streptophyta, Magnoliopsida, Malvales, Malvaceae. The record is from RefSeq and is a predicted model, not a curated record. The transcript is spliced from 2 exons.
CCUUUCUUAUUUUAUUUUUUAAGAUAAGAACCAAAACACCCUCUCCCCCUUUGUUUCUCAACUCUCUACUAGGGUUAUGAACCCUAACCUUUGCGCCGUCAACCCGUCGAUCAAGAGGAAGAAAGUCUCUCCUCUCCUCCCUUUGGGUCUGAUUUCAGCAACGGAGAGAGUCUCCGACGACACAAUCAUAGGGAUUCCGGGUGGUGUCAGAUGCGCGUGAGGCUGGUGGUUGGUGGUGUGCGUGGUGGCCAUUGGUGAGGAGCGGCGGCUGAUAAGAUGGGGGCUAGGGUUUGCUGUUGAAAACUUUUAAGCAAAUGGGCUAUUAGGGUUAGUUUGGUUAGUGGGCUGAUCGGGGUUUUAAAUUAGGUUUUGUUUUAAUUUUGGGCUAUGUAUUGGACUGUUUUUUUGUUUAUUUAGUUUGGGUUCUUUUAGGCCGAAUUUGGCUAUUACAGUCAUUAUCAGCAUUCAAUUUUUAACAAUAUGGAACAAUUUAUAAAAGUUUUAAUAUAAUCAUGUCAAACA